This 190-nucleotide unclassified non-coding RNA is filed under the name soil metagenome. RNAcentral describes it as "partial internal transcribed spacer 1". The record is from RNAcentral.
GAGAAUUGUACCAAAAACAAUAUGGACAACCCAUCCAUAUCCCACCUUGUGUGCACCCAUUGAAACCAUGCUUUGGGAGGUUUCUCCUCUGUUGGAAUUGGAGAUACUCAAGCCUCCCAAGGUUUUUGUUCUCGCAACACUUUUUUUUUUUUUUUUUUUCCUGAAAAAUCAAACAUAAUAAUAAUAAAUA